Molecule: long non-coding RNA, 723 nt
Organism: Hemicordylus capensis (graceful crag lizard)
Lineage: Eukaryota; Metazoa; Chordata; Lepidosauria; Squamata; Cordylidae
Exons: 3
Source: RefSeq, a predicted model, not a curated record
UGACAGUUGGAGGAGUGGGUUGUUGGUUAGAUAGGGAUUGGUAGGGAAAGAAGAAAGAGCUCAAUGUGAGAGCUCCUGAAUGAGACUGAACACGGGAGUUGUUCAGGCUGUUUUGUAGCCUUCUUUUCUAGAACAUCCAGUCAUUGUCCCCAGAGAAGUGUUGUGCAGAGGAACCCCAAAAGAACCGUGGCUUUCAUUCUCCACUGCAGUGGACAACAUGGCUGAGAAGAGGAAGUAGUCAGAGGAUGCAGCUGUGGAGAAGAGGGCCAAGGCAGGACCAUCCUACAGUUUGGCCAGCCAUGAAAUUCUUGGAUGGUUUUAUGAGGCGCUUCAGGUGAUGAAUCCACAAGUCAUGAUUACCAUGUGGAGCAAUCUUUCAAGGAGUCAUGUUAUGGCUGGCAACCCUAUCAUGUAGUAACCUUUGGAAGGAAUUGGGAUGUAAUGGUCCAGCUGUCAGACUAGGACCCGGAAGACCCAGAUUCAAAUCCUAACUCAGCCCCGAAACUCACUCCGUUAUCUUGAGCCAAUCACUCUCAGCCAGCCUACCUCACAGGGUUGUUGUGAGGAUACCAUUGGGUAUGGGAGAACAAUGUCCUGAGCUCUUCAGAGGAAGGGAGAGAUAAAAAUAUAAUAAAUAAAUGUAGAUGAGCAUUAAACUACUUCCUUGGUACUUUGGUUUCCUAUUCACUGAGCAAGAGAAAUAUUAAUUGGCCUUAAUGUAGA